ACCAGACUCCUACGGGAGGCAGCAGUGGGGAAUAUUGCACAAUGGGGGAAACCCUGAUGCAGCAACGCCGCGUGAGUGAGGAAGUAUUUCGGUAUGUAAAGCUCUCUCAGCAGGGAAUAGAAAAGAAGGUACCUGAAAAAGAAGCCCCGGCUAACUACGUGCCAGCAGCCGCGGUAAUACGUAGGGGGCAAGCGUUAUCCGGAUUUACUGGGUGUAAGGGGAGCGUAGGCGGAAAGGCAAGUCAGAAGUGAAAGCCCAAGGCUCAACCAUGGGACUGCUCUGGAAACUGCGUCGCUGGAGUACGGGAGGGGCAGGCGGAAUUCCUGGUGUAGCGGUGAAAUGCGUAGAUAUCAGGAGGAACACCGGCGGCGAAGGCGGCCUGCUGGACCGUGACUGACGUUGAGGCUCGAGAGCGUGGGGAGCAAACAGGAUUAGAUACCCGAGUA
Molecule: ribosomal RNA, 446 nt
Filed under: uncultured bacterium
Lineage: Bacteria
Description: bacterial SSU rRNA
Rfam family: Bacterial small subunit ribosomal RNA
Source: RNAcentral